This 1456-nucleotide long non-coding RNA is filed under the name Anser brachyrhynchus (Pink-footed goose). RNAcentral's name for it is "lncRNA (ENSABRG00000020210.1)". The record is from RNAcentral. Lineage: Eukaryota; Metazoa; Chordata; Aves; Anseriformes; Anatidae.
AUGUUCCCAUGUCUGUCCACACAGAUGACACUGUGCAGUUGUGUCCAAGCCCUUUCAUUGCCUCAUAGGAUCACAGAACAGUUUGGGUUGGGAGGGACCUUUAAAGAUCACCUCAUUCCAAUCCCUGCCAUGGGCAGGGACACCUCCCACCACACCAGGUUGCCCAAAGCCCCAUCCAGCCUGGCCUUGAGCACCUCCAGGGAUGGGGCAUCCACAGCUUCUCUGGGCAGCCUGUGCCAGCGCCUCACCACCCUCAAUUUUCUUUCUUUUAAUGGCAGCUCUGCUGGUCUCAGCAUCCUUGGUGAGGGAAGGCCACAGCCACCCAUGCCACCUCUCUUGGCACCCAGAAACCAGGGCUCUGCUGCCAUGGGGAGGCCAACACAGAGAUGUCGGAGACAAGUGGUGUCUUGGACGCGGCUUGAAGUCACAGGUGACUCUGAGGAUGGUCAGCAAUAAUGCAGCCAAAUGACUCUUCCGUUGUAGAUCCCUUGAAGUCAAUGUUGUUACCCCAACAUAAAAUUUAACCCAGGACACUUCCUGCACAUUCCCGGGCAGCACUUAUCGGAACACGGUGAGAUUCUCAUCUCCUCUGCUUCAGGUCUUACUGUCUGUAUGCAGCACAUCUGCACACAGGAAAAUUAAACUCACAGCUGUCAAAGCUGUUGCAGAUCUCCUUCUCUCUUGCUUGCAUCAGGGAUGACCAUAGCCUGUUGCAUCUCACUCCCUCCCAUUUCAAUUAGAAACACGUACGCAUUUUCCUUGGGAUUUUAUAAAACUUCCAUUGCAGGUCUCAUGGUAAGUCAGGUCAGUCAGAAGCAGGGACAAACUCGGGACACAGGGAGGGACUGCAGCAGGGUUCACAUGUUCUGGAUUCUAAUCUUGUCCUGCCACACGUAUGAGUCACCCUCGUUAUUUCCACCAGCAAAAUGGUAAGAACAAGGGAGCCCUUUUUUCUGCAGCCUAGUGAGGUCUGCAGAAAAAAUCAUUGGUCGCUGUUGAGGUUCAAUCUGAAAUUCUGCCACUGAAAACCAUUUUGUGAAGAACUGUAUUUGCAGGCUCUCCCUUUAAGCUGCAGGCAUGUAACCUGCAUGCAGGUAGUGUGUGCCACUUCCUUGGGAUCAGCACAGCACACUGCUACUCUGCUUCCUAGAGGCAAGUCCCUCUUCCUCUUCUUGCAGCGUGUAUAAAUGUGCCAUUCGAAAAGUUAUGAGCUUUUUAUUGUCACUUGUGGAGUGAGAUAUUGAACCAUCGAAGUGCUUAUUCAUUUCUGUUUAUCUGAUUGUCGUAAUGUUUCUAAACUGCCAGUUGAAGGUAAGAGAUAAACUCCAGCCAGCCUCAGACUUAAAGGCGCCUUUGACGUAGCUAGGUUUUUUCAUUAGAGGAUGAUAUAUUAUUUAUUGACCCACACAGGGUCACCUGGAAAUACUUCAUGCAGGGAAUCAAAAGGGAAGAAGAG